GAUGAAGAACGCAGCGAAAUGCGAUAAGUAGUGUGAAUUGCAGAAUUUAGUGAAUCAUCGAAUCUUUGAACGCACAUUGCGCCCUAUAGUAUUCUGUAGGGCAUGCCUGUUCGAGCGUUAUUGAGACCUCAAGCUCUGCUUGGAAAUGGGCGCUUGUCUUGCCUUGCAGACUCGCCUUAAAACCAUUGGCAGCUGAUUUACAAUGUUUGGUGCACAGUACAUGAGCUCAAGUGUUGCAAUGAGUGGCCCAAAAGUAUACAAUAGAAGCUUAACCUCGGAUCAGGUAGGGAUACCCGCUGAACUUAAGCAUAUCAAUAAGCGGAGGA
This 326-nucleotide unclassified non-coding RNA is filed under the name soil metagenome. RNAcentral's name for it is "partial contains 5.8S ribosomal RNA, internal transcribed spacer 2, and large subunit ribosomal RNA". The stretch from base 1 to 120 matches the Rfam family "5.8S ribosomal RNA", at positions 35 to 154 of the family's 154-position model. The record is from RNAcentral.